GGGACACGUGAUAUCCUGUCUGAAUAUGGGGGGACCAUCCUCCAAGGCUAAAUACUACUGACUGACCGAUAGUGAACCAGUACCGUGAGGGAAAGGCGAAAAGAACCCCUGUGAGGGGAGUGAAAUAGAACCUGAAACCGUGUACGUACAAGCAGUAGGAGCAGGCUUUGUCCUGUGACUGCGUACCUUUUGUAUAAUGGGUCAGCGACUUAUAUUCAGUGGCAAGGUUAACCAUCUAGGGGAGCCGUAGGGAAACCGAGUCUUAACUGGGCGUUCAGUCUCUGGAUAUAGACCCGAAACCAGGUGAUCUAGCCAUGGGCAGGUUGAAGGUUGAGUAACAUCAACUGGAGGACCGAACCGACUAAUGUUGAAAAAUUAGCGGAUGACUUGUGGCUAGGGGUGAAAGGCCAAUCAAACCUGGAGAUAGCUGGUUCUCCCCGAAAGCUAUUUAGGUAGCGCCUCGGACGAAUACUACUGGGGGUAGAGCACUGUUAAGGCUAGGGGGUCAUCCCGACUUACCAACCCUUUGCAAACUCCGAAUACCAGUAAGUACUAUCCGGGAGACACACGGCGGGUGCUAACGUCCGUCGUGGAGAGGGAAACAACCCAGACCGCCAGCUAAGGUCCCAAAUUACUACUAAGUGGGAAACGAUGUGGGAAGGCUCAGACAGCCAGGAUGUUGGCUUAGAAGCAGCCAUCAUUUAAAGAAAGCGUAAUAGCUCACUGGUCGAGUCGGCCUGCGCGGAAGAUGUAACGGGGCUAAGUAGUAAACCGAAGCUGCGGCAAUGUGCUUUUGCACAUUGGGUAGGGGAGCGUUCUGUAAGCGGUUGAAGGUGUGUGGUAACGCAUGCUGGACGUAUCAGAAGUGCGAAUGCUGACAUGAGUAACGAUAAAGGGGGUGAAAAACCUCCUCGCCGGAAGACCAAGGGUUCCUGUCCAACGUUAAUCGGGGCAGGGUAAGUCGACCCCUAAGGCGAGGCCGAAAGGCGUAGUCGAUGGGAAACGGGUUAAUAUUCCCGUACUUCUUACAAUUGCGAUGGGGGGACGGAGAAGGCUAGGUGGGCCUGGCGACGGUUGUCCAGGUUCAAGUGCGUAGGCUUAAGAGUUAGGUAAAUCCGGCUCUUUUUAAGGCUGAGACACGACGUCGAGCACCUACGGGUGUGAAGUCAUUGAUGCCAUGCUUCCAGGAAAAGCCUCUAAGCUUCAGAUUGUAAGGAAUCGUACCCCAAACCGACACAGGUGGUCGGGUAGAGAAUACCAAGGCGCUUGAGAGAACUCGGGUGAAGGAACUAGGCAAAAUGGUACCGUAACUUCGGGAGAAGGUACGCUCUUGAUGGUGAAGUCCCUCGCGGAUGGAGCUGACGAGAGUCGCAGAUACCAGGUGGCUGCAACUGUUUAUUAAAAACACAGCACUGUGCAAAAUCGUAAGAUGACGUAUACGGUGUGACGCCUGCCCGGUGCCGGAAGGUUAAUUGAUGGGGUUAGACUUCGGUCGAAGCUCUUGAUCGAAGCCCCGGUAAACGGCGGCCGUAACUAUAACGGUCCUAAGGUAGCGAAAUUCCUUGUCGGGUAAGUUCCGACCUGCACGAAUGGCGUAAUGAUGGCCACGCUGUCUCCACCCGAGACUCAGUGAAAUUGAAAUCGCUGUGAAGAUGCAGUGUACCCGCGGCUAGACGGAAAGACCCCGUGAACCUUUACUACAGCUUGGCACUGAACAUUGACCCUACAUGUGUAGGAUAGGUGGGAGGCUUUGAAGCACGUACGCCAGUAUGUGUGGAGCCGUCCUUGAAAUACCACCCUU
Molecule: ribosomal RNA, 1801 nt
Filed under: Vibrio parahaemolyticus
Lineage: Bacteria; Pseudomonadati; Pseudomonadota; Gammaproteobacteria; Vibrionales; Vibrionaceae
Description: partial 23S ribosomal RNA
Rfam family: Bacterial large subunit ribosomal RNA
Source: RNAcentral